RNAcentral lists this long non-coding RNA (564 nucleotides) under Cricetulus griseus (Chinese hamster). RNAcentral describes it as "lncRNA (ENSCGRG00000026155.1)". The record is from RNAcentral. Lineage: Eukaryota; Metazoa; Chordata; Mammalia; Rodentia; Cricetidae.
AUUUCUCAAGACAAACCAAAGGCUUUCUCCACCACGGCUUGCCGGCCUCACGCUGCUGCUGGUGUUUCCUGCCAGCUGCAGUCGCUGCACCACUCCUGUGUGCUCCUGGAAGGUAGCUCAGGCCCUCCCUCACCAAGGUACUUCCAGGAGCUUGAAAAGAACACCUGGGUUCCAUCACUGGGAAAUUGUUGCCCUAAUGAAAACCUUGUUUUAAACGUCAAGUGUACCACCUGUGUGUUCACACUGACAGAUCACAAGAAGUGGAAGAAUACUUUCUGAAAAGGAAUACAAAGUGAACGCCAUGAAGCAGGAUCACCAAAAGCACGUCCGGGAGUGCUUAGCCCAGGCCAUCUUCCACAAGGUCCUGGACAUGGAGGUGCGGCCUUUUCUUACCCCCUUUAUGAUGGACCGUUCACUCUUCAACACAGACUAACGAUGGAGAAUUCUUCCUAAGCUUCACGAAAAAGGAAAUGGGCCAAAAUGAAAGGGGAGAUACUGUCUGACUUCCUAAGUAGCCAGGAGCCCAGAGACCCAAGUUUUCCUCCUUUUUAGUUCAGAAGAAAU